CUGGUUGAUCCUGCCAGAGGUUACUGCUAUCGAGGUUCGACUAAGCCAUGCGAGUCGAAUGUAGCAAUACAUGGCGUACUGCUCAGUAACACGUGGACAACCUACCCUCCGGACGGGUAUAAACCCGGGAAACUGGGUAUAAUCCCCGAUAGAUCUCGGUCGCUGGAAAGCCCCGAGAUCGAAAGCUCCGGCGCCAGAGGAUGGGUCUGCGGCCUAUCAGGUAGUAGUGGGUGUAGCGUACCUACUAGCCUACGACGGGUACGGGUUGUGAGAGCAAGAGCCCGGAGAUGGAUUCUGAGACACGAAUCCAGGCCCUACGGGGUGCAGCAGGCGCGAAAACUUUACAAUGCCGGCAACGGCGAUAAGGGGACCUCGAGUGCCAGGUUACAAAUCUGGCUGUCGUGAUGCCUAAAAAGCAUUGCAUAGCAAGGGCCGGGCAAGACCGGUGCCAGCCGCCGCGGUAACACCGGCGGCUCGAGUGGUAACCGUUAUUAUUGGGUCUAAAGGGUCUGUAGCCGGCCGGAUAAGUCUCUUGAGAAAUCCAGCAGCUCAACUGUUGGGCUUUCAGGAGAUACUGUCUGGCUCGAGGCCGGGAGAGGUGAGAGGUACUUCAGGGGUAGGGGUGAAAUCUUGUAAUCCUUGAAGGACCACCAGUGGCGAAGGCGUCUCACCAGAACGGACCUGACGGCAAGGGACGAAAGCUAGGGGCACGAACCGGAUUAGAUACCCGGGUAGUCCUAGCCGUAAACGAUACUCGCUAGGUGUCGGCCACGGUGCGACCGUUGUCGGUGCCGUAGGGAAGCCGUGAAGCGAGCCACCUGGGAAGUACGGCCGCAAGGCUGAAACUUAAAGGAAUUGGCGGGGGAGCACCACAACGGGUGGAGCUUGCGGUUUAAUUGGAUUCAACGCCGGA
Molecule: ribosomal RNA, 913 nt
Filed under: uncultured archaeon
Lineage: Archaea
Description: bacterial SSU rRNA
Rfam family: Archaeal small subunit ribosomal RNA
Source: RNAcentral